Molecule: ribosomal RNA, 237 nt
Filed under: uncultured bacterium
Lineage: Bacteria
Description: partial 16S ribosomal RNA
Rfam family: Bacterial small subunit ribosomal RNA
Source: RNAcentral
UGGAACCUGCCUUAUAGUGGGGGAUAGCCUUUCGAAAGGAAGAUUAAUACCGCAUAAGAUUGUAGUAUCGCAUGAUAUAGCAAUUAAAGGAGCAAUUCGCUAUAAGAUGGACCCGCGUCGCAUUAGCUAGUUGGUGAGGUAAUGGCUCACCAAGGCGACGAUGCGUAGCCGACCUGAGAGGGUGAUCGGCCACAUUGGGACUGAGACACGGCCCAGACUCCUACGGGAGGCAGCAUG